AGGUGAUAUAUUGAAAAAAGGUAUAUGUAAUAAAUAUUAUUUUAAGGAUUACGAAUCAAAAUUUAAAUAAUGAUAAAAAGAUCAUAACUGUAAUAAACAGUGAUCAAUCAAAAUCAUGAAAAUGAAAAAAAUAAAAGCAAGUGGAAUGAAACAUCUGAGUAACUUGUUAAAUAACCAACAGGGAUAAUAUAAGUAACGGUGAGUGAAAAUAUAAAAAUCUUAAAGUAUUGCCAAGAGGUAAGAAUAAAGUAGUUUCCAACUACUAAGAAAAAAAAUUAAAUUUUAGAUUAAAGUACCGCAAGGGAAAGUAAAGAAAUAGAAUAAUAAAGAGCAGUUAUAGUAUAACGUACCUCUUGUAUAAGUGCGACAAGAAGCAUUAAUAAUUAAUGUGGUUAAAUUCCACCAAAUCUUUUCCAUUGAUUUGACCCUAUCUAUACAUGCUGAAGGAGUAAUCAUCAGUGUGAAGCUAUAGAGACAAUGUAACAAUAAUCCCAUCUUUAAUAUAUAUUAAAGGUCGGAGUGCUAGGGUGAGUAAUUCUAUGAUGAACAAAAGUGAACAUGCCUGGAGGCUUCGUAAGAGGUGUAUCAAAUUUAACAACAGCUAGCUGUAGUAAAAAAUGAUAACUGUUAAGUCAAAUCUUUCUUAUACUGGGGUUUGAAAUGGAACAUAUUUAACACGGAGUAAAGCAUAGCAUCUAAGGAAUUUAGAUUAUAUAGUUUAUACUGUAUAAUACUCGGUAUUAAUUUAUUAAAUUAAUUCCGGGAGUAAUGUAAUUAUUAGUGAACUUGGUAAGCCCUAAAUUCUCUAAAUAUGGGAUAUUAUUUAUUUAGAGGUAACAUAUAAAGAGAAAUUGGAAGUUGUUAUAACGAAUUCAGGGUAUAAGAAUGAUUCAAAAAGCGAAUGCAGAUUAGUAAUAGAUCUGAUAGAGUUUUAUAACUUAAUCCGAGAGGAUGCAGACUUGAAUCAAUGUGAUCAUCGUAACUAUUCAGCCCCUAAAAAGGCGAUAUGAUAAUCUGAAGCUUUCGGUAGAUUAUUAUAGGAAUCUUGUCUAUUUAACCGGUUUAACCGGAAUAUUCAUCUAAGGUUCAAAAUUGUAAAUUACAAUUAAGGAAAUAAAGUAGUAUCGAUUUAUUAAUUAAUUAUUUACCUUUGGGUAAAUUUUUAAGGAAGUAAAUUGGCGAAUAAAAGAACUUUUAUAAAUAAAUAAGCUUAUUAAAAUUAUUAUAUGUUAAUAAUGAAAAAAUGUCAAAACAGUAAAUAAGACAAACUAAGUUAAAUGGUUAACUCGAUAAAAUACCAUUAAGUUAUUAGUGUUGCUAAAAAAAAAAUUUAUAUUCGAUUUGAAUGUUUAACACUAUUUCUUGGGUGAAUUAUUUGAUCAAAUAAAAAAACGAAAUAUAAUAAAUAACAAAGAAAAAAAUUUUUAAACUUAAACUUAAACAAAAAAAACAUGAUGAGAAUUUUAAUGGAAUCCAGAUUAUAUGCUGGCAAAUAUAUAUUAACAUCCUUUAGAGGAUAUAGAAAUUAUUUAUUAGGAAUGAUGUGAUAUAAAGGAUUAUUUAUAAAUAAGAAUUUUAUAUUUGCAACAGGUGUAAGAUUUAAAAGUAUAAAUAAAAAAUCGAAAGAUUCCCGGCUUAGUCGGGUUAAUUCAAAUAUUUGACAUAUGAUAAAUUGAGAGAAAGCUGAAAAAAAAGUAAAAGAUCUACAAGAGAAAAUAGUUAUUGCUACAUUAAAUAAUGAUAUAAAAGAAGUGUAUAAAUUACAAUGAAUUUUAUUACAAAGUUUUGAAGCUAAAAGUUUGGCAAUAAGAAAAGUUGUAACUAAUAAAAAUGGGAAAACAGCCGGAAUAGAUGGUAUAAUAUGAAAUAAUCCAAAAGAUUAUUCAUUAGCUAUCUUAGAAUUAUCCGCUAUUUUGAAAAAUCCUCAUAAUUAUAAAUCAAAACCCUUAAAAAGAAUAAAUAUUCUAAAAGAUAAUUAUUCAAAGGAAUUAAGGUCUAUAAUUAUUCCUACAAUGAUAGAUAGAGCUGUUCAAACUAUAUACUAUUUAGCUAUAGAUCCUGCAGUAGAAACUAAAUCUGAUCCUCAUUCAUAUGGGCAUAGAAAAAAUAGAUCUACUCAUGAUGCCAUUACUUCAAUAAGAGGUUUAACUGAUAAAAGUUAUCAUCCUAGAUGAAUUUUAAAAGUUGAGAUAUCUAAAUGUUUUGAUAAAUUAGAUCAUAAUUUUUUAUUAAAGCAUACCCCGAUAUGUCAUAAAUCUGUUUUAAAAGAAUGACUUAAAACUGGAGUAAUGGAAGAAUUAAAUUACAUUGAAAGAGUGGAUAAUAUACCCCAAGGAGGUAUUAUAUCUCCCUUGCUUUGUAAUAUAGCAUUUAAUGGUUUAGAGAAAUUCAUUAAAGAUGCUAAUCCCCCUAAUAAAAAAAGAAUAAAAGCAAAAGUAUAUGUUAUAAGAUAUAUUGAUAAUAUAAUUAUAACAGGUAUAACUAAAGCAUUAGUAAUUCGUAAUAAAGAAUUAUUAAUUCAAUUUUUAAAGAUUAGGGGUUUAGAACUUAAUGAAAAAAAUACUCUAAUUUCUCAUAUAAAAAAAGGAUUUGAUUUUUUAGGAUUUAAUAUUCGAAGAAUGAAAUGAAAUUUUAAACUUAAUAAUUCUAGUAAACAAGAUACUGUAUUAAUUAUUAAACCUUCGAAAGAAGCGAUAAGUAUUUUGAAAAAUACUAUUAAAAAUAUAAUAACUAUGAAUAAACCUUUAAUCACUAUAAUUAGGACAUUAAAUCCUAUUUUAAGUAAAUGAGGGGUAAAUAAGAGAAUAUCUUAUCAUUCACAGGAAACUUUUAUUAGUAUUGAACAUUAUAUUUAUAUAAAAAUGAAAAAAUGAGUAUAUUGAAAAGGAGGAUCAUUAAGAAAAAAAAUGAGAAAUUACUUGCUGACUACUGAAACAAGAAAAUGAAAUUGAGGUAUUUCUUUAAAGGAUAAACUUAUUAAUAUAAGUGAAAUACCUAUCAUAUUAUUAAGACCUUUAAAACUUGACAGAAAUCCAUAUUUGUCUGAAAAUAUUGAAUAUUUUAAUAUUAGAAAGUCACAUAUUGAAAUGGAUAAUUUCAGAGCAGCCAUUUAUAAAAAGUACAAACAUACAUGUCCUAUAUGUAAAAGUACUCUAUAUAAUGGGGAACUAGUGGAAUUGCAUCACAUCAUUCCACAAAAAGCCCAAGGAAAAUAUAGUUUAACCAAUAUACUUCCACUUCAUCAAGUUUGUCAUAAACAGGUUACCCAUGGUAACCUGUCUUUAGAAAGAUUUAAGAUAGCUUUACCAAAAAAGGCUAUCAAGAGUCGGAAUAAAAAACAAACUUAAUUUAGGGAUCCUAGGAUCUCUAAUCCCGGCAAUAGGCCGGGUAUUCGUUAAAAAUCGGUAAAAUAUACUGAAGUAUAAUAACGAAUAUUAUAUCAUAAAUUAUUGGCUAAGAAAAAGUAAGGAACGAUUCUCCAAAACGAGGGAUAGAAAUUACAUUCGAGUAUGGUUGCAUGAGCCGUAUGCGAUGAAAGUCGCACGUACGGUUCUUAUGGGGGGAAAGCCUGAGAGGGCCUACCUAUCCUAAUUGGGCCAGUGAGUUAUAUAAUUUAGUGAAAAAAAAAUAAAUUUUUAUAUAUAAAUAGAAAAAAAUUAAAUUAUAUAGGCCCGAAAGCAAACGAUCUACACAUGUCCAAGUGUAUAUAUAAUCAAUAAUAGGUUUUAUAUAUGACUCAAUAGGUAAUUGUAGCAAUAAUUUCUAAAGAGGUGUGUGUAGCUGUGACAGACAAAUCUGGUUUGCAGAUAGCUGGUUUUCUGCGAAAUAUAUUUUAGUAUAGCCUUUAUACAUAUUUAAACUGGUACAGCACUUAAAUAACUUUGGGGAAUUAGAAUAUAAUUUUAUCAAAAUAUUUAAACCUCGAAAUCAGUUAAUAAUAAUAUAAGGAGUCAGACUUAUUGCGAUAAGGUAGUAGGUCGAGAAGGAAACAACCUAGACUAUUAAAUGAAUGUCCCAAAUAUUAAUUAAGUGAACAAAAUCUAUCCUACUUUUAUAUAAAAAUAUUAUAUUAUAUUAUAUCCUAUUCAUUAAGGAAGGGAUAUUUUAUUUUAUUAAUUAUUUUUUUUAUAAUCUAUGAGGUAUUAAAUUAUAGACAAUUAGUAAGUGGGUUUGACAAUAAUCAACUUUUAAUGAACAUGUAACAAUGCACUAAUUUUAUAUAUAUAUAAAUAAAUAUAUUUAUUAAUAAUAGAGAAAAUAUAUCGGGUCUAAAUUAAUAACAGUAUUAUAGAUAUAAUGAAAAAGAUGAUCAUGAUAUGGUAGCAGAAUAUAUAAUGAAAAAUUAUAAAGAGAUUGCUGGCUUGAGUAACGAUAGAUAAUAUAAGAUUAUCCCCUUAUUCAUAAGGUUUUACUAUAAACGAACGGUCCCUAAGAUAAUUAUAGAAAUAUAAAAUUGAUGGGUAAAAGAACAAGAAAAAAGAAAUGAACCGUACUGUAGACCGACACAGGUAUGAUAAAAAGGGAAUGGGAUAACUACUUUGAAUGAACUCGGCAAAAUAAAUCGUGCGACUGUUUACCAAAAACAUAGCUUAUUGCAUACUAGUAAUAGUAAGUAUAAUAAGUGAUAUCUGCCCGGUGUUAGUUUAAUAAAUAUAAUUAUUUAAUAGAUAAUUUUAUAAAAAACUUAUAAACGGCGGUCUUAUUGUGAGGAUCCGAAGGUAGCGAAAUUCAUUGACGUAUAAUUGACGUCCUGCAUGAAUGAAUAUACGAUGCGAUAACUGUAUCCAAAGUAGACUCAGUGAAAUAGCAAUUGCGGUGAAAUUAGUGCUAUAAUAUAAUUAUAUUAUACGCCGCGUUGGUGUAAAUCCAACUUUAUAGUAUUAAUUUUUAAUAUUCCCUUACGGGAUAUAUCAACCCCGCAAAGCGGGGUUGAGGGGGGGGUUGAUCUAUAUAACCAUUAAUGGUUAUAUUUAUACAAUAACAUAAACAAUGACAAAAACAAUGACAAAAACAAUGACAAAAUUUUAUAAAUGAUUUAUAGGAUUCUCUGAUGGAGAAUCAAAUUUUUCAAUAAUACCUAUUAAAAAUAAGAAUAAUUUUAUUAAAAAUUUUAUAUUUCAAUUUAAAAUUACAUUACAUGUAGAUGAUAAAGAAGUAUUAAAUAUAAUAAAAAAUAAUCUUAAUUUAGGUAUUAUUUCUUUUGAUAAAAGUAGAUAUGAAUGUUCUUUUAUAAUAAGAAAAAAAGAAGAAAUAAUAAUACUUUUAAAUAUAUUAAUACUUACAAAUUAAAUUCUACUAAGUAUUUAGAUUAUUUAGAUUGAAAAGAAUCUUUUUUUAUAUAUCAAAAUAAAACUGAAUUAAAUGAAGAUAUUAUUAAUAAAAUUUUAUUUUUAAAAAGUAAAAUGAAUAAUAAUAGAACUGAAUUUAAAUUAGAAGCAUAUGAAAAUAAAAAUUGAGAUGAUCAUGUAGAUAUUUCUAAAUAUUGAUUAUUAGGUUUAAUAGAGGGUGAAGGUUCUUUUAAUUUUUGAAGAGAAGAUUUAAGACCUAAUUUUGUUUUAGUUUUAACUGAAGUUCAAUAUUUUUUAUAAUUAAAAAUAAAAGAUUUUAUAAUAAAAGAUUUAAAUUUUGAUGAAUAUUCUUUAUUUCAAUUAAAUAAUAGUUCUAAUAUUUGUAUUAAUUAUAAUAAAACUAGAUUUAAUUCUAAACCAAGUUAUACACUUUUAAUAACAAAUAAACAUAUUUUAAAUAAUUAUUUUUUACCUUAUAUAAAUUCUUUAAAAGAUUUGAUUUAUUUAUAUCAAAAAAAUAUAAUGAUUUUAAUAAAUUAAUUAUUUUAACAAAAGCAAUAUAUAAUGGUUUACAUUUAAAUCCAGAAUAUAAAAAUAUUAUAUUAAAAAUAAGUUAUACAAUGAAUAAAUAUAAUUUAUCGAAUAGUAAAAUAAAACCACCAAAGGAUUUAUUUUUAAAUAAAUCAGGUGUAAUUGAUUAUAAUGUUAAUGAAUUAGAAACAAAUUUAUUAUUAGAUAAUAUAAAUAAUAAACCAUUAUUUAAACAUUUAAAUGAUGGUAGAAUUAUAAAUAAAUUAACAAAUAAAAUAAUACAUCAAAAUCAAUCUUGUAUUUAUAAAAUUAUAAAUAUAAAUAAUAAUGAUUAUCAUUUAUUCUUAAAUUUAAAAGAUUUAUCUAAUUAUCUAAAUAUAGAUUCUAGAAGAUUAAGUAGAUUAUUAAAUAAAGAAUUAAUAUCUAAUGAUAAAUCACCAAUUAUAGGUAAUUAUUUAAUUAAAAGAAUUAAAGUUUAUGCUCGAUCAAAAAUGGAGAUACCUAAUAUAUAAAUAUUAAAAAAUUAAAUGUCUUAAAUGACAGAUGAGUGUUAAUGAAUCUAAUGAUUCAUACUUUAUUUAUAUAAAGUGGUAAGAAUACAAUCGAAUAAUACUUAUCCCUCGAAUAGAGGGUAAAUUACAUAUAGGCAAUAUGUAGUUUAAUCGCUAUAAAUAAAAAGGUGAAAACGGUCAAUGACAUCUUAGUUAAAGACCGUCGGCAGUUGUAUAUGUCGCUACAGACUGGUUCACCGAGGUUAGACUGAAAUGUCUGUCUAAAUGUACAGUCGAAUUCUGUAAUAUAUAAAAUAUCUUAAUGAUAUAUAAAUUAUAUAUAUAAAGGUGAAAGAUUUAUCUAUAAUUUAGAUAUAACUUAUUAGUACAUAAGUAAGAAACCUUUGUAGGUCAAACCUACUUAAGUUAAUCAGAAUUGGAAGAUGCCGUAUAUCCGUAGGUUGACAAAAAGACCCUAUGCAGCUUUACUAUAUCUUUAUUUUGAUUUUUAAUCAUAAAUUUAUUUAUGUUUAAUCUUUUUUCAUUUAUUUCAGUAGAUUAGGUUUUAUUUAUAUUUUAAAUCAAAUGAGAUACCUAUAUAAUUGAUAAAAAAAAUCUAAUUAAUAUCGUCAUUUUUAUAUUCUAUUUAAUUAUAGAAUAUAAUAUUAGUUUUACUAAUUGACUUAAGUUUAUUUAAACUUAUUUAAGAAAGAGUAAAGAGGUUAGUUUCGAUGGGGCGUCGACAUCAGCGAAAGCAUCUGAUGUGUCUAAUUACAAAGAUCUUUAUUUAAAAUUAAGACUUAAUGUAUAAUUAAAUUAAUUAUUUAAUAGUAAAUAACGUACAAUAAUUCUAUAUGGUAAAUAGAUAAAUAUAUUAUAAGUAAGGAUAACAACAUAAUUGUGCGAUGAUAAUAACACUAACAAGUGGAAUUAGUACUUACGUAGAGUGUAGUGAACAGGCAUAAACAAAUGGUAUGGAUGUCGAUAACGGAUUAACCGCGUGAGAGUUGAUAUCGUCAGCGGUGUUUGCCACCUCGAUUAAUUAUUUUCGUCGAGUUUAAAUAGGUUUAAUUGCAAGAAGUCUUUUAUUAAUAUUUUUAUUAAUAUUAUUAUGAUUAUGAUAAUUUGCAGCGAAUUAUUAUUUAUAAAAAUUAUAUAUAAAUAAAAUAAAAUAUAAAUAUAUAUAAUAAGAAUAAUAAACGUUCAACGACUAGUAGGUGAGUAAAAUAACAAUAUCCUAUCACGAAAUACCUAUAAAUAUUUAAUAUAAAUAUUUAAAGAAAUAGUCUGAACAAUAAUGAAAAUUAUUGAAGUUAAUAUUAAAAAAUUUAACGUAAACAAAUUGGUCGUCUAGACUCGUCCUCCUGGUAGAAGCAACUAGGUAGGGUAGGACUGUUCGUCCUCUAAGGAGUUACUUGAGAUGGGUUAAUUACGACGUGAGUCAGUAAUGAUUUUAUCAUCUAUGGAUUUUUAACUUAUCUGUUGCCUUAAGUGUACGCAAGGAUAAUAAGGUACAUUCCAAUGGUAAAAGAUAUAAUAUAGCUAAGAAUGUUGUGUUUACAUAUUGAAUGCAUAUCAAAUAUAAAAUCCUUCAGAUAAGUUUAUACAUUAUAGACUAUAAUGUUUUAGUAAAUUUUAUAACAAAAUAUACUAAUUAAUAAAUAUAAACAUAUACCU
This 7987-nucleotide ribosomal RNA is filed under the name Metschnikowia cubensis. Lineage: Eukaryota; Fungi; Ascomycota; Pichiomycetes; Serinales; Metschnikowiaceae. The record is from RNAcentral.